CGAUGACGGUACCUGAAGAAUAAGCACCGGCUAACUACGUGCCAGCAGCCGCGGUAAUACGUAGGGUGCGAGCGUUAAUCGGAAUUACUGGGCGUAAAGCGGGCGCAGACGGUUACUUAAGCAGGAUGUGAAAUCCCCGGGCUCAACCCGGGAACUGCGUUCUGAACUGGGUGACUCGAGUGUGUCAGAGGGAGGUGGAAUUCCACGUGUAGCAGUGAAAUGCGUAGAGAUGUGGAGGAAUACCGAUGGCGAAGGCAGCCUCCUGGGAUAACACUGACGUUCAUGUCCGAAAGCGUGGGUAGCAAACAGGAUUAGAUACCCUGGUAGUCCACGCCCUAAACGAUGUCAAUUAGCUGUUGGGCAACUUGAUUGCUUGGUAGCGUAGCUAACGCGUGAAAUUGACCGCCUGGGGAGUACGGUCGCAAGAUUAAAACUCAAAGGAAUUGACGGGGACCCGCACAAGCGGUGGAUGAUGUGGAUUAAUUCGAUGCAACGCGAAGAACCUUACCUGGUUUUGACAUGUGCGGAAUCCUCCGGAGACGGAGGAGUGCCUUCGGGAGCCGUAACACAGGUGCUGCAUGGCUGUCGUCAGCUCGUGUCGUGAGAUGUUGGGUUAAGUCCCGCAACGAGCGCAACCCUUGUCAUUAGUUGCCAUCAUUCGGUUGGGCACUCUAAUGAGACUGCCGGUGACAAGCCGGAGGAAGGUGGGGAUGACGUCAAGUCCUCAUGGCCCUUAUGACCAGGGCUUCACACGUCAUACAAUGGUCGGUACAGAGGGUAGCCAAGCCGCGAGGCGGAGCCAAUCUCACAAAACCGAUCGUAGUCCGGAUUGCACUCUGCAACUCGAGUGCAUGAAGUCGGAAUCGCUAGUAAUCGCAGGUCAGCAUACUGCGGUGAAUACGUUCCCGGGUCUUGUACACACCGCCCGUCACACCAUGGGAGUGGGGGAUACCAGAAGUAGGUAGGGUAACCGCAAGGAGUCCGCUUACCACGGUAUGCUUCAUGACUGGGGUGAAGUCGUAACAAGGUAGCCGUAGGGGAACCUGCGGCUGGAUCACCUCCUUU
Molecule: ribosomal RNA, 1065 nt
Filed under: Neisseria gonorrhoeae
Lineage: Bacteria; Pseudomonadati; Pseudomonadota; Betaproteobacteria; Neisseriales; Neisseriaceae
Description: bacterial SSU rRNA
Rfam family: Bacterial small subunit ribosomal RNA
Source: RNAcentral